Aedes albopictus (Asian tiger mosquito) is the source of this 1973-nucleotide long non-coding RNA. RefSeq lists it as uncharacterized. The transcript is spliced from 2 exons. The record is from RefSeq and is a predicted model, not a curated record. NCBI's taxonomy places the organism in Eukaryota, Metazoa, Arthropoda, Insecta, Diptera, Culicidae.
GCUGUUGUUUCAAGUGCGCACUUUUUCUCCGAUGCAUUCAAUGGAAAAACCCAUUCAGAUCCGAAUUCACUAUCAAUUGUAUUAUAUUUACACCUACUUGUUCUGGAAUCCAAACGUAAUUGCCCGUAAUUUGUGCCAACUUCGUCCAUCUGUAGUUUGGUUUUGUUUCACGUUCACAAUAAUUCAGUCCUCGGUUUGACAGUUCAUGUGUCUUUGUGUUGGUGAGUGACUAGUAUGGCGUUUCUUUCCGAACGAGUGAAAGAGUUGUGCGUAACGCACCGUGCUGCCAGAUUUAUUUGCAACACAUUUUGUUUUCAAUAUGGAAAACAAGAAAUGAUGUUGAUUUUCAUGUAUUAAUUUCACCUCUUGCUCAGUCAAAAUGAAUGAGUUCAUUCAUUUUGAACUGGGAGGACGGGGUAAAUGUAACCGUAUGUUCCAUAUUUGUAGUCUUUCGGCUCCUCCUCAAAUAUCCUUUGCCUUAACCCCCCUGCCAGUGGGCACCUAAUGCCUUGCCCAAGUAAAAAAAUAAUAAUAAAUCCCAAAACUGACAGCCUCACUGGUGGCGUAAUCCUAGCUGUCAAUGCAGAGCCAAGUAUUUAUUAUUAAAGUGUCCGUUACGUUCCUGAAACUAAAGUCAUUUAUUUACAGCGGUUUGAGCUUCCAGUCUAUCACUUUUUAGACUGUGUAUUUUGUCGGCAUAAUGCCCCUGCGCAGAAGGGUUGCCAACUUAAAUUCCGAGUGACUCUACUUUGUGUGAGUGAGUUGCCAAAUCUCGGGUAUUACAUUUUCUGCUGACUAAUGCCCAAGAACAGAUUUCAAGACAGAGUCCAAAUCAUUCCAUCUGUGACUAUCAUAGAUAAUUGUAGUGCGCGACGUGUAUUCCAAUAAAUUCUUAAAAACUAGUCAAAAUCUAAAAACUAGUUGAAAAAGUCAAACUUAAAAGCUAGUAGUACGGUAAAUUGUUAAAUAGUAAGCUAUUGUUCUAUUUCUAUCAAAAGAAUAAGGUUCAGCCGCUAUUGUGAAAUAGCAAGUGUUAAGAAAAGGUCCACUUCUGGGCCUUUUCUUUUUGACCUUCGGGGUCCCAAAACCGGAGGACAGUGUUCGUUUUCCCACAGAAAUACCACCGACGCACUGGACACGCCAAGAUCCGCUGGCACACGGAAAUCGCAUCGUCGAUACGCUGUCAUCCCGAAAUCUCUGGCUUCCCUACGGUGGACGGACAUUCCCACCGGAGGCCAUUCUUCGGCACCGCCAUUUUGGAAAUUCAGCGACAAACCACAUGGCCGGUCGAUAACUGCGAUUCAGUGUCCUUUAUCAGAACGGCGUCAGCGGACUCCACCCCUCGGUCGUCGGUAGGAACCGGGCUACACAGAGGUUCCCAAACUCUUGUGGACGUAGACCCCUCGGUAACCAGCAACGCCUCUGCAACCAACAAUCCCCCCUCCGUCAACCCACCGUCAACCAACCACCCACCGUCGCCCACCAGCUGCCCGUUGCCGUAUGCAUGCCACCACCGACCUCAAAGCUAGCCACCGUUCGUCACCACCAGAAUCCAGUAACCGCAAGUACACCUUUAUGAUCAAAUGUUUCUCUCGGUAGGGCCCAGAUUGGGCAAAAUAAACAUAGCUAUGUAAGUUCAAAUAUUGGUGGUUAGUUUCUAUUAGAAAACCGCACCAUUAGUCCAUAUACGCCCUUUUUGUUAUUUUGGUCGUCUUUCCGUGCCCCAUAAGGAGCCUUCACGCCUCGAUCUGGGUAGUCCAUCGGAAAGAUACGGUAUUUACCUUGAAUCUGAUUAACUUUGGUCGUAGAAUUCAGUUGGUGCCCACUCCCUCGCACGGACGUGGUAGCUAAUGUGUAGAAUCCUGCUCCUGCUAAAGGUGAGUGACCAGUUGAGCUUUCGUAACGGUGCUAUUAAUGAAUAAACGACCCCGUGCUCAGUAAUAUUCCCACCCACAAUAUUCCCCACUGAGUGG